GCACUGCUGAGGAGUCCCAAAAUAAUAGGACGAAACGGCCGUCCAGUGC
This 49-nucleotide non-coding RNA is filed under the name Schistosoma mansoni. The record is from RNAcentral. Lineage: Eukaryota; Metazoa; Platyhelminthes; Trematoda; Strigeidida; Schistosomatidae.